UACGUAGGUGGCAAGCGUUGUCCGGAAUUACUGGGUGUAAAGGGAGCGUAGGCGGGGAGACAAGUUGGAUGUGAAAUCCCCAGGCUCAACCUGGGGGCUGCAUCCAAAACUGUCACUCUUGAGUGAAGUAGAGGCAGGCGGAAUUCCUAGUGUAGCGGUGAAAUGCGUAGAUAUUAGGAGGAACACCAGUGGCGAAGGCAGCCUGCUGGGCUUUAACUGACGCUGAGGCUCGAAAGCGUGGGGAGCAAACAGG
Molecule: ribosomal RNA, 253 nt
Filed under: uncultured bacterium
Lineage: Bacteria
Description: partial 16S ribosomal RNA
Rfam family: Bacterial small subunit ribosomal RNA
Source: RNAcentral